GACGAACGCUGGCGGCGUGCUUAACACAUGCAAGUCGAACGGAAAGGCCCUGCUUUUGUGGGGUGCUCGAGUGGCGAACGGGUGAGUAACACGUGAGUAACCUGCCCUUGACUUUGGGAUAACUUCAGGAAACUGGGGCUAAUACCGGAUAGGAGCUCCUGCUGCAUGGUGGGGGUUGGAAAGUUUCGGCGGUUGGGGAUGGACUCGCGGCUUAUGCGCUUGUUGGUGGGGUAGUGGCUUACCAAGGCUUUGACGGAUAGCCGGCCUGAGAGGGUGACCGGCCACAAUGGGACUGAGAUACGGACCAGACUCCUACGGGAGGCAGCGGUGGGGAGUAUUGCACAAUGGGCGGGAGCCUGAUGCAGCGACGCCGCGUGCGGGAUGACGGCUUUCGGGUUGAGAACCGCUUUCGCCUGUGACGAAGCGUGAGUGACGGUAAUGGGUAAAGAAGCACCGGCUAACUACGUG
RNAcentral lists this ribosomal RNA (468 nucleotides) under uncultured bacterium. RNAcentral's name for it is "partial 16S ribosomal RNA". It matches the Rfam family "Bacterial small subunit ribosomal RNA", at positions 28 to 507 of the family's 1533-position model. The record is from RNAcentral.